This 365-nucleotide ribosomal RNA is filed under the name uncultured bacterium. Its description in RNAcentral is "partial 16S ribosomal RNA". It matches the Rfam family "Bacterial small subunit ribosomal RNA", at positions 94 to 526 of the family's 1533-position model. The record is from RNAcentral.
AGCGGCGGACGGGUUAGUAAUGUCUGGGAAACUGCCUGAUGGAGGGGGAUAACUACUGGAAACGGUAGCUAAUACCGCAUACCAUCAGAUGUGCCCAGAUGGGAUUAGCUAGUAGGUGGGGUGAAGGGUCACAUAGGCGACGAACCCUAGCUGGUCUGAGAGUAUGACAAGGCACACGGGAACUGAGACACGGUCCAUAAUCCUAAGGGAUGCAGCAGUGGGAAAUAUUGGACAGUGGUGGCAAGCCUGAUGCAGCCAUGCGGGGUGUAUGAAGAAGGCCUUCGGGUUGUAAAGGAUGUUCAGCGGGUAGGCGUUACGCGCAGAAGAAGCACCGGCUAACUCCGUGCCAGCAGCAGCGGUAAUAC